Molecule: ribosomal RNA, 590 nt
Filed under: uncultured bacterium
Lineage: Bacteria
Description: bacterial SSU rRNA
Rfam family: Bacterial small subunit ribosomal RNA
Source: RNAcentral
UACUCCUACGGGAGGCAGCAGUGGGGAAUUUUGGACAAUGGGCGAAAGCCUGAUCCAGCAAUGCCGCGUGUGUGAAGAAGGCCUUCGGGUUGUAAAGCACUUUUGUCCGGAAAGAAAUCCUUGGCUCUAAUACAGUCGGGGGAUGACGGUACCGGAAGAAUAAGCGCCGGCUAACUACGUGCCAGCAGCCGCGGUAAUACGUAGGGUGCAAGCGUUAAUCGGAAUUACUGGGCGUAAAGCGUGCGCAGGCGGUUUGCUAAGACCGAUGUGAAAUCCCCGGGCUCAACCUGGGAACUGCAUUGGUGACUGGCAGGCUAGAGUAUGGCAGAGGGGGGUAGAAUUCCACGUGUAGCAGUGAAAUGCGUAGAGAUGUGGAGGAAUACCGAUGGCGAAGGCAGCCCCCUGGGCCAAUACUGACGCUCAUGCACGAAAGCGUGGGGAGCAAACAGGAUUAGAUACCCUGGUAGUCCACGCCCUAAACGAUGUCAACUGGUUGUUGGGGAUUCAUUUCCUUAGUAACGUAGCUAACGCGUGAAGUUGACCGCCUGGGGAGUACGGUCGCAAGAUUAAAACUCAAAGGAAUUGACGGA